GCGUUGGUGGUUUAGUGGUAAAAUUCAUCGUUGCCAAGGGUUGUAGGUCCCAAAGAGAGUAUCUUCCGGUGCCCUCCCAAAGCCUCAACACCAAACUCGAUGAGCCCCGGGUUCGAUUCCCGGCCGACGCA
Molecule: transfer RNA, 131 nt
Filed under: Diplodia corticola
Lineage: Eukaryota; Fungi; Ascomycota; Dothideomycetes; Botryosphaeriales; Botryosphaeriaceae
Description: Botryosphaeria corticola tRNA
Rfam family: tRNA
About the family: Transfer RNA (tRNA) molecules are approximately 80 nucleotides in length. Their secondary structure includes four short double-helical elements and three loops (D, anti-codon, and T loops). Further hydrogen bonds mediate the characteristic L-shaped molecular structure. tRNAs have two regions of fundamental functional importance: the anti-codon, which is responsible for specific mRNA codon recognition, and the 3' end, to which the tRNAs corresponding amino acid is attached (by aminoacyl-tRNA synthetases). tRNAs cope with the degeneracy of the genetic code in two manners: having more than one tRNA (with a specific anti-codon) for a particular amino acid; and 'wobble' base-pairing, i.e. permitting non-standard base-pairing at the 3rd anti-codon position.
Source: Rfam by way of RNAcentral